RNAcentral lists this ribosomal RNA (467 nucleotides) under uncultured bacterium. Its description in RNAcentral is "bacterial SSU rRNA". It matches the Rfam family "Bacterial small subunit ribosomal RNA", at positions 337 to 796 of the family's 1533-position model. The record is from RNAcentral.
UCCUACGGGAGGCAGCAGUGGGGAAUAUUGCGCAAUGGGGGGAACCCUGACGCAGCCAUGCCGCGUGAAUGAAGAAGGCCUUCGGGUUGUAAAGUUCUUUCGGUAAUGAGGAAGGGAUGUUAUUAAAUAGAUAGCAUCAUUGACGUUAAUUACAGAAGAAGCACCGGCUAACUCCGUGCCAGCAGCCGCGGUAAUACGGAGGGUGCGAGCGUUAAUCGGAAUAACUGGGCGUAAAGGGCACGCAGGCGGACUUUUAAGUGAGAUGUGAAAUCCCCGAGCUUAACUUGGGAACUGCAUUUCAGACUGGGAGUCUAAAGUACUUUAGGGAGGGGUAGAAUUCCACGUGUAGCGGUGAAAUGCGUAGAGAUGUGGAGGAAUACCGAAGGCGAAGGCAGCCCCUUGGGAAUGUACUGACGCUCAUGUGCGAAAGCGUGGGGAGCAAACAGGAUUAGAUACCCUGGUAGUCC